GAGUUUGAUCAUGGUUCAGGAUGAACGCUAGCGGCAGGCUUAACACAUGCAAGUCGAGGGGCAUCGCGGGUGGCAACACCUGGCGGCGACCGGCGAACGGGUGAGUAACGCGUGAGCAACAUGUCCUCAGUCGGGGGAUAAGCGAGGGAAACUUCGUCUAAUACCCCAUAACACUUUCAGGCGCAUGCCUUUAAGUUGAAAGCUUUUUUUGCGACUUUGGUUUGGCUCGCGUGACAUUAGCUAGUCGGUGGGGUAACGGCUCACCGAGGCUACGAUGUCUAGGGGUUCUGAGAGGAAGGCCCCCCACAUUGGGACUGGGACACGGCCCAAACUCCUACGGGAGGCAGCAGUGAGGAAUAUUGGUCAAUGGACGGAAGUCUGAACCAGCCAUGCCGCGUGAAGGAAGACUGCCCUAUGGGUUGUAAACUUCUUUUGCAGCAGAGCAAUAAGGCGUACGUGUACGCCGAUGAGAGUAUGUUGCGAAUAAGCAUCGGCUAACUCCGUGCCAGCAGCCGCGGUAAUACGGAGGAUGCGAGCGUUAUCCGGAUUUAUUGGGUUUAAAGGGUGCGUAGGCUGUUUUGUAAGUCAGCGGUGAAAGACCGGGGCCCAACUCCGGAAGUGCCGUUGAUACUGCAUUGCUAGAGUUCCCCUG
This 652-nucleotide ribosomal RNA is filed under the name uncultured bacterium. RNAcentral describes it as "bacterial SSU rRNA". It matches the Rfam family "Bacterial small subunit ribosomal RNA", at positions 9 to 654 of the family's 1533-position model. The record is from RNAcentral.